UAACAUCUGUGCCACGUAUAAUAGAAAACAACUAGAAAUACAUGGAAUUUUUCUUUAAAUAACGUUUGUUGGGGGAAGGGAGAAUAUUGGAAAACUAAAGCAAAUGACUGUUUUAAUAGUUAUCUUUGAUAAGGGUGUGAGGUAAAUUGCUGGAAUAAUGUAGAAAGAAAUCCAGAAAUAUAAAUUUGUCAGCAAGGUACAAAUGACCUUCCCAGGUCUACUUUCCACAUUCCAGACAACAGAGAAUCCUUAAAAUUUAAAAGACUAAGAACAAGUGCUAUAUGACAAUAUUCUUUAAAGGCCUCCAUAAAAAGAUAAAUUUCAGUAAGCCUGAAGCAUUCAAAUGCCUGUGCUAAUGACAAUAAAGAUUUCUGGCUGCUUGAGAUCACUACAUUUUACUGACAAGGUCAAAGAGGAACACUGAGUUGGAAGCAGCACCUGACCUAGCUGGAGCUUGCUUAGUAUAUGCAUUCACCCAGUAGUAACAAGUCAGGGAGCUCAUUGGAUGUUAGAAGACCUUUCUUGGGAGAACCUAGUUGUACCAAAACCUGUAUUUAAAUUAUUUUUAGUAUUUUAAAGUAACAGUUUUAGAAUCAGUUUAAAAUUAGCAUUUUCAUCUAAGACACCUACUUCUUAAGUGUAAAGAAAACACUGAGGACACUUAAGGUGAAAAAACAAACAAAAAAGAGAACUAUACCCAAUCUGGUGAAAGCAGAUAUUAAAUAAACUACUACUCCAGGGUAUAAUUCUUUUUAUGCAAGCUCAAGUUAAAAAAUAGACCUCAAGACCAUGAUUAACUUAUUGGAAAAAAAAACUUCUUGACCAUAGUUAUAUUUUAAUAAGUAAAUGAACUUAAAAGUGUUUGUUUUAAAAAGUAUAUAUAUAUAUAUAUCUGUGGUCAAAGAGUUAAAGCUUACCAAGUUACUUUUUAUUUAUUUAUUUAUUUUUUAAAUCUAAAAUGAAGAUGCAUUAAAAUUCUGGGAGGUAGAAGAAAAUACAGUCAUCAACUCUAGGAUUAGUAUUAUGUUCUUACUGAAUACCUAUUGAGGUAUUAUACAUACUUUAUCUUAAAGAGCUAGGAUUAAGUAUUACCUUCCUGUCACUGAAUGGAAUGCUUUAAUGCUCACAGGUACCUUCAGUCAUGAUUACUGCCAUCACUAACUGGCACUGUCAACUCACUUCUGGCUUCAGAUAAUUAGGCUAUUCAAGUAUGUGAAGAGAGUCCAAGAAGAUGAAACUAGGCAACAUAGCAACAAAGCUCCUCCAUUAAUCUAUCUGCAGUUCAACCAGUCAGGUGUCUCUGACUGCCCUGAUAAAAGAUACCCAGGUUACUUUGCUGCCCUCUUUAGUUUCUUAAAGUUGGAAAAGCUGGGAAGAAAUAGGAAUAAACUCAGAAGCAAGAAGGUAUUGAAUUACCUCUUAGCAAAGAAGCAAAAAUGAACUGAACCAUACACUACUGGGGAAAGGGCAUACCAUGGGUCAGAGCAAAGAGCCUUUCACCUCAGUUUUCGUGUUUGCAAGACUUACAGGUACCUUUGCCCAAGCACUUUUACAAUCACAAGGCAUAUUCACAACUUAAUGUAUAAAGUGACAGACAGAAUGUUAAAGUCUCUCUGGUAAUUGAAUCCUAAAUUGUUUCCAGUUGAUAUUUCAUUUUCACUAUCUCCUCUUUAUAGCAAACAUUUAUACUGCUUGUCAAUUAUAUUCUAAUCAGACUGUAGUGGUACUUAUUAGAUUGUCCCAAAGAGUGAAAGGAAUCUAACAUGUACAUUACAAUGGUGGGUAGUUAUGAAGGAAGUUCCUUUCAAG
Long non-coding RNA from Sapajus apella (tufted capuchin), 1809 nucleotides. RefSeq lists it as uncharacterized. Lineage: Eukaryota; Metazoa; Chordata; Mammalia; Primates; Cebidae. The transcript is spliced from 2 exons. The record is from RefSeq and is a predicted model, not a curated record.